Long non-coding RNA from Micropterus dolomieu (smallmouth bass), 2224 nucleotides. RefSeq lists it as uncharacterized. The transcript has 9 exons. The record is from RefSeq and is a predicted model, not a curated record. Lineage: Eukaryota; Metazoa; Chordata; Actinopteri; Centrarchiformes; Centrarchidae.
AUUUCUACCACUUUACGGAGGACAGUUUCAUCAACAAGGACCUGUGUGAAGCUGGUUUUUCAGCCAAGCUGAGGCUAAAAGACAGGGUUUUUCUAUCUAUAAGGGCUGAUGUUGAUGAUGCAGAAACACAAGCUCCACACAGGUUAGUUUCCUCCAAAAUGCCAGCACAGAGAUCAAUCACCAAGACUCAUGGUUCUCUCAUCCACACCUGUAAAGGGUUCUGCACAUUCACUGAGUGUCAGACCAGCAAAGAGACCCUGUCUUGUAUUACUGAAGGAGGGUGAGGAGGAGGAAGAGGAGGAUGAAGACAGUGUUUCUGAUUUCCCAGAGCCACAUGAUUCCACGUAUGAGCCUGGAGAAUCUUUGACAGAGCCAUCUGACGUUAGGACACUCCAGCCAGCCACUGCUACUGGGGACCAACAAUAUCAUUGACCUUCAACUUGUACAGAGCAAUGAGGUUGGUGGCAGCGUGCACAUGGAAAAGGAAGGUCUAAAAAGAGGCCUGGAUUUUCUGGAGGUAAACCAUUUGACUGUGCAUUACAUUGUGACACAAUUUCUGAGGGAGCGACAGGUGACCCAGUACUAUGAUGUUUGGCACUUUGAGAAGGGUUAGUCCAAAAAGCUGGACAAGAUUUUCCAAAACAAGGAGUGUGCAAGUGGUUGUCUAGCAUCAAAAGCCACAUUUACUGGACAGCCGUGUCUUCAAAGUCUGGACUGGAGAAAGUCCCUGGUCAACCACAUCCAGAAUGUGCACACACAUGAUGAUCUGCUCUUCCUCAAGUAUGCUCAUCCUGACAUAGCCUCCAGAGACCCCAGGAAGUGGUUUCAACCAGGUUCAGUGGCCCUGUACAAAGUCGAUAAACUCUGAAGAGUUUUCAAAGACGUCGAAAAACUCAGUCAUCACCAACAAACGUCAUAACUAGAAGCCUUCAUAGUUUCAUUCUACGCUUUGCACCAAAGAAUGACGUUUUCCCCUUCAUUGGGAUUCUGUGCAGGAAAACGUUCCUGAGUCCAAGAAGGGAGAAUAUACAGCAAAGCCUGUUAAGAUGGAGCAAACAUUUAACUAUGUGUGUAACCUGAUGAAGCUGCUUUUUGAGGACAUUUGAGGACCCAUCACAUACAGAUAGGAACAUGAACAGAUUCCCAUCCCAGAGGACCUGCGUGCACAGUUCGACAGACCCUCAAAGUAGGAGGUCAUCGCCAGGCAUGUAUCACGGUUCAGUCAUGGGGCGGCUGGAACCCAACAUAGUUCUCUGCAGGAUCAGGAAACUCCUGGCGUAUCCGGCCAACACCACAUGACAGGAUGAAGACCCUGAUGUGUCUGCCUAGGUACGAGGACAUGUGCAGUGGGUGAGGAUCUAUCGAGCAGCCCUAAAUAUUUUCCAAUACUACAGGAUGAUGAUAACUCAUGGGUGAAUGACUAUGGCAAAGAACUGGGGGAAAGAAAUUUAACAUUUCUCGUUCCUGAAGAAAAAGCAGAAGAGGACAAUAGCAGGGACAAGCCAUUUAAGGGUACCUGAAGAACACAUCUCCUAACUCUACUGCGAGCGGUAUUAUAAAGGUAACCGUAGCUUAUUAUUUAUACGAUAUACUGCAGCAAAAAGCUAUACAAACAUGUGUGUAUUGUGCAUAUACAGAUGAAUGGUGCAGAAAACAACCUUACAUGCAUUGACACGCUGCCCUUCUUUAAUAUAAAAGGACAUAAGAGAGAAAUUACGCAGAAGCUUUUUAACAAAAAUUUUGCUGAUGCUCAAAAGUAUGUACUACGCGAUCUUGGGUUGGUGCCAACGUGUGAAUGCAGCAUUCGAUACAUUGCAGCAGCUGCUCUACAGAUUUGGCUGAGGAACCCUUUUCUCAUUGCUUUGCUUAAACGGGUAGUUAGAGUGGAGGACAGUGUGAGCACAGUAGUUAAGGAAUCUCUGCAUAUCUGGAAGGGGGAACAACACUAAAAACAAUGGGGAAUGUGUCUAGUCUACUAAACUAUGUCAUACAUUGUGUAUAAGAUGAGAACACUGUUGUGUGAAGCUGUUAACAAUGCAAUAUGUGACACAGAUAGGACACUAUGUUGUUCUAGAUUUGACAAACAGACAGAAUGUGUUAGAUGAAUGACCUCUGGAUGGCGUACCAUGGUGCAAAUGACAGCGGAUAAACAUGCAGAUGUACUCGAUAUAGCAAAUGUUUUUCCUGUGAACGAUCAUGAAUGUAAAUGUACUGGUUAACUGAA